UAAUAAAUAGGUAAUAAUUUUGUCUUCUAGUCAGAAGCAAACAGGAUUUUGCAGACUAGUAAUCAAUUCCGAAGAUCAAGGAUGAGUGCAAUGUUUCAUAUAACAAAUCAAACAGAGUUGCAACCUGCAUAAUUUCCAUUUCUGAUGCAGACAAAGCUGUUGUCUGGCAGAAGUCAUACAAAGAUAACAGAAUACAAGCUCUGACCUACAGAUUUUUCACAUCUAAGGAUGGCUAAGGUAUUGUCUGUGGGGAGGGGGAAAUAGAUUUCCCAUGGCCUUAGAGUUCUCUCCCCCCACCACCCUUUAAAUUCUUUUGACAAGUUUAGUGGAGGAACACAGUAAUGGCUUUCCUGGAAAUGCUGAAGACC
Molecule: non-coding RNA, 368 nt
Organism: Biomphalaria pfeifferi
Lineage: Eukaryota; Metazoa; Mollusca; Gastropoda; Planorbidae
Source: the annotation of a GenBank genome assembly